Molecule: small RNA, 2430 nt
Filed under: Theobroma cacao (cacao)
Lineage: Eukaryota; Viridiplantae; Streptophyta; Magnoliopsida; Malvales; Malvaceae
Description: sRNA Tc03v2_g026940
Rfam family: MIR168 microRNA precursor family (bases 281-442)
Source: RNAcentral
AAAGGGGGUAUUGAAAUUUGAAAGUUUUGAAACCGAAAAUAAGAAAACCACUUGCGCCAUAAUUUUCCCCUUUUGGAGGCUAUCUUUUUGUUAGCUCACAAAACCGGAGUCGGUUGGGGACACGUGGAGGGGAGAAAUUGGUCUGUUGUGAUUAUAAAUAACCGGCAAGGAAGGGAAAACCCAAGCCCACUCGUAGGGUUAUAGAAAUAGUAAUAGUAAUAGAUGGUUCCGUUUUUAGCAAAGCCAAAAGUUUCCCUAAAGGAGCUCGAGAUUGAUUCAGUUACCGGCGGUCUCUAAUUCGCUUGGUGCAGGUCGGGAACUGAUUGGCUGCUGCUCCUUAAUAGUGGAUUGGAUUGGAUUUAGGCCAGAUGGCGGGCCGUGACUGGAGGAGGCACGAAUUGGAUCCCGCCUUGCAUCAACUGAAUCGGAGACCGCGGUGAGGGGUUGCAUGGAUCUUGCCUUCUUUUUCUGUGUUAUGUUCAGAUCUCAGAGCUGCUGGAGGUAUUUCAAAGAAUGGAAAAUCCCCCUAGGAAGACAUUGAGAGAGACUGAAAAUUUAAACAAUUGACAUGCUCUAAUAACUUUUGUCCUGAUAUCAGAAACUUUAGAUUGCAACUCUAUUCAGUGUGUGUGGCUAUUCAUUUCUGUCUGCUGCUGUUUCCUCUCAUUAUAAUAAUAUUCUUGACAUUUUAUCGACUUGAGAAGAUGGGUGGCUUGAAAUUCAAUAUUACAGGUGGAGACAGCAAUUGCUGUUAGAAUUAUCCAUUGAGAGUUGAAUUGUCUUUUCUAGUUGAAGUGCUAGUUGUUUCAUUCUUUGUGGGAACAUCUUUAGCAAUUAGCAUUAACAAACCCAAAAAUUUCCCCCUUCUCGGUUGCUAAUGUACAUUUGAAUUGUUCUUGCCUUUGGUCUUUUGCAUUGUUAGGUUUACAUUGCUUUUAACAGCAUUCUUUCUAGAAGAUCAUUUACACUUAUUCUUAGAUCUGUAGUUCCUAUCCUUACUGACCAUAUUGAUUUAACUAAUGGAUGUAUAGUUUGUACUUGGUAUAUAUUGAUAUUUUUGCUUAUGAAAAUUGGCCUUUUGUUCCCCAUUGAGUUGAUAUCCAGCUGUGGAGCCUUUUAUCAAUCAGUGUCUGAAGGCCGCUGCAAUAUUCUUGCCAAAUUUAUCUACUCAUCUUUUUGGCUUCAAAUCUCAACACAACUUUUGUUCUUUGGUUGUCCUUUACUUAGUGAGCAAAGUUCCAAAAAGCCUUAGCAUAUCCCUUAGGAUAGGUUUUCUUUCCACCCAAAAUUCGUGUUUGACUAAUUGAAGAUAUUAGUGCCACAGCAGUUAAUUAUGUGAGACUGUGAGACGGGACUGGGUUAUAUACCGCACCUCUUAGUUUAGGGUUUAUGGUCCUUAAGAUUGCAAUUGGAGUGUGAAAACUAAAUCUUUCUAUUUUUUGGUGUCAGAAUGGAUGUUGUCUCUCUGGGAUGAGAUGGUAACUGAUGAAUCCAUUCUCACAUUGUUUUGCUUUUGCCUAUUUUCCCGUAAACAUUAAAAUGUAAAAGUUGUAUUUUUGGCCAAUAUAGAGGAUUUUUAUGUUUAAAAGUUCACUCAUAUGCAGGACUCAUGUAAAUGCAAGUUCACAUCAAGGGCGUCUUGGUAAUGUCAGAACAAUUCCAUUUACUGCUUAUCUUGUCUUGUGAAUAUAACCAGCCUACCGUUUGCAUAAAAUUAGAAUCCUUGCCCUAACGUUAUUUUGUCCUUGAGGACACAUUAUUAUGUGUUAUUAAUGCCCUUGUUGUGGACACGUUGUUAUGUGACGUUAAUGUCUUUGCUGUAGACACAAAAAAUCAAAGUGAAUGAGUUAUAACCGUGGAAUGCUGAUAGCAUUGAUGACAGAUGCUAAGGAGGGGCCUGGAACGAGGAUUCUUGGAUGGUGGUUAACUUUCGAAAUGAUGCCAUUUUAUUUUGACCUGGAAAACAAUAAGGUCCCUUUCAUGUUGGCGCCGGGCGGUUUCUUUCCCAUUGAACUGCUUUACACAAUUGGUUACUAGGCUGGAUGAGGAAGGCGGGUGUUUUGUUUGGGACCCAUGUGAUGAAUUUUCAAUUUUUAUGGUGGCCCUGAGUUUCUCUUUCUUAGCUUUGUACAGCUCAGUUGCUUUAGAAAAGCAUCUUUGAAGCUGACAUGAAGAAGCACGGAUGCACAAUUUUUGUUCUGGUUGAUUGCCAGUCUUUACGCGGACAACAAUUGACUCAAAAAGUGGGGUUGGAAAGAAAACGCUGUGAAAUAAUUGCAGGAUUUGCCUGACUUGUAAAGUGUUCAGGUGGGAAUAAUGCAGGAAGUGAAUUUGUUAAGAGUCUAGUUGAUUGAUUGAGAUUUGAGAGAUUUUAUUAUGGUCAGUAAAUCAAACUUCCAAAUUUUCUCAAAUUAUAAAACUAAGCUGAAA